GGGGAUGUAGCUCAGCGGUAGAGCGCGUAGUUCGCGUUUAUGAGGUCCCGGGUUCGAUUCCCGGCAUCUCCA
This is a non-coding RNA of Peromyscus californicus insignis, 72 nucleotides long. The record is from the annotation of a RefSeq genome assembly. NCBI's taxonomy places the organism in Eukaryota, Metazoa, Chordata, Mammalia, Rodentia, Cricetidae.